GACGAACGCUGGCGGCGUGCUUAACACAUGCAAGUCGAACGGAAAGGCCCUGCUUUUGUGGGGUGCCCGAGUGGCGAACGGGUGAGUAACACGUGAGUAACCUGCCCUUGACUUUGGGAUAACUUCAGGAAACGGGGGCUAAUACCGGAUAGGAGCUCCUGCUGCAGGGUGGGGGUUGGAAAGUUUCGGCGGUUGGGGAUGGACUAGCGGCUUAUCAGCUUGUUGGUGGGGUAGUGGCUUACCAAGGCUUUGACGGGUAGCCGGCCUGAGAGGGUGACCGGCCACAUUGGGACUGAGGUACGGCCCAGACUCCUACGGGAGGCAGCAGUGGGGAAUAUUGCACAAUGGGCGGAAGCCUGAUGCAGCAACGCCGCGUGCGGGAUGACGGCCUUCGGGUUGUAAACCGCUUUCGCCUGUGACGAAGCGUGAGUGGCGGUAAUGGGUAAAGAAGCACCGGCUAACUACGUG
Molecule: ribosomal RNA, 468 nt
Filed under: uncultured bacterium
Lineage: Bacteria
Description: partial 16S ribosomal RNA
Rfam family: Bacterial small subunit ribosomal RNA
Source: RNAcentral